Molecule: long non-coding RNA, 603 nt
Filed under: Homo sapiens (human)
Lineage: Eukaryota; Metazoa; Chordata; Mammalia; Primates; Hominidae
Description: HSALNT0114178
Source: RNAcentral
GAGAGUUCACUUUGCCCACCAUUGAAUCCCUAGUACCUGUAAUAACGACUGGCUUGGAGUUGGCAGCCAACAAAAAUUUGUCGAACGGAUGAACGAAAUGAAGGAACGUGAGAGGUACACAGGAACCACAAUCAUAUAAGGCAAAACUUGCCAUGUUUGGAGUGAGCAGAGCUGGAAGGCCGUACAAAUAGGUCUUUGCAAAAAUGUAUGACUGCACCAGCUAUGGAUUCUUUCUGGUUUCUGCUGCCCUGUAACCUCCAACAGAACAACGCUGCUUCCAGGAGGUGCAGUGUCUUCAUGGGUUUCCCAGAAUCUUUUCGAUGUCAUAAGAAGGCAACAGAUUUCUAAGGAGCACCUGAAUUCCUUGAAAAUGGCUUUGAACAAUAUGAGUUUCUUUUCUUUUCUUUUCUUUUUUUUUUUUUUUUUUUGAGACGGGAUCUUACUCUGUCGCCCAGGCUGGAGUGCAGUGGUGCGAUCUAGGCUCACUGCAAGCUCUGCCUCUCAGCUUCAUGCCAUUCUCCUGCCUCAACCUCCCUAGUAGCUGGGACUACAGGCAACCGCCACCACACUCGGCUAAUUUUUUGUAUUUUCAGUAGAGACGGG